UACGUAGGGUGCAAGCGUUGUCCGGAAUUAUUGGGCGUAAAGAGCUCGUAGGCGGUCUGUCGCGUCGGCUGUGAAAACUUGGGGCUCAACCCCAAGCCUGCAGUCGAUACGGGCAGACUAGAGUGUGGUAGGGGAGACUGGAAUUCCUGGUGUAGCGGUGAAAUGCGCAGAUAUCAGGAGGAACACCGGUGGCGAAGGCGGCUCUCUGGACCACAACUGACGCUGAGGCGCGAAAGCUAGGGGAGCAAACAGG
RNAcentral lists this ribosomal RNA (253 nucleotides) under uncultured bacterium. RNAcentral's name for it is "partial 16S ribosomal RNA". It matches the Rfam family "Bacterial small subunit ribosomal RNA", at positions 524 to 776 of the family's 1533-position model. The record is from RNAcentral.